Molecule: non-coding RNA, 104 nt
Organism: Virgibacillus necropolis
Lineage: Bacteria; Bacillati; Bacillota; Bacilli; Caryophanales; Bacillaceae
Source: Rfam
CAAACCUUUAACUGAAUCCAGAGAGAUUUAAAAGGUUGUCAAUGUUACGUGUCAAUUGUACACGUAUACCUCUUUGCGACCUUUUGCAAAGAGGUUUUUUUAAU